GGGUGCGUAACGCGUAUGCAACCUACCUCAUACUGGAGAAUAGCCCUUGGAAACGAGGAUUAAUACUCCAUGGUAUCAUUCUUUCGCAUGUUAGAAUGAUUAAAGAAUUUCGGUAUGAGAUGGGCAUGCGUCCCAUUAGCUAGUUGGUGAGGUAACGGCUCACCAAGGCGACGAUGGGUAGGGGGCCUGAGAGGGUGGUCCCCCACACUGGUACUGAGACACGGACCAGACUCCUACGGGAGGCAGCAGUGAGGAAUAUUGGUCAAUGGAGGCAACUCUGAACCAGCCAUGCCGCGUGAAGGAUGACGGCCCUAUGGGUUGUAAACUUCUUUUAUAUGGGAAGAAACUUAUCUACGUGUAGAUAACUGACGGUACCAUACGAAUAAGGAUCGGCUAACUCCGUGCCAGCAGCCGCGGUAAUACGGAGGAUCCAAGCGUUAUCCGGAUUCAUUGGGUUUAAAGGGUCCAUAGGCGGAUUUUUAAGUCAGUGGUGAAAGCCGGCAGCUCAACUGUCGAACUGCCAUUGAUACUGGAAAUCUUGAGUACAAAUGAAGUAGGCGGAAUGAGUCAUGUAGCGGUGAAAUGCAUAGAUAUGACUCAGAACACCGAUUGCGAAGGCAGCUUACUAACAUGUAACUGACGCUGAGGGACGAAAGCGUGGGGAGCGAACAGGAUUAGAUACCCUGGUAGUCCACGCCGUAAACGAUCAUCACUCGCUGUUGGCGAUAUACUGUCAGCGGCCAAGCGAAAGUAUUAAGUGAUGCACCUGGGGAGUACGCCGGCAACGGUGAAACUCAAAGGAAUUGACGGGGGCCCGCACAAGCGGUGGAGCAUGUGGUUUAAUUCGAUGAUACGCGAGGAACCUUACCAGGGCUUAAAUGUAGUAUGACCGGUCUGGAAACAGACCUUCCCUUCGGGGCAGAUUACAAGGUGCUGC
RNAcentral lists this ribosomal RNA (937 nucleotides) under uncultured bacterium. RNAcentral describes it as "bacterial SSU rRNA". It matches the Rfam family "Bacterial small subunit ribosomal RNA", at positions 104 to 1044 of the family's 1533-position model. The record is from RNAcentral.